UUGCUUGGGCAGCAAAUAUACUAAAAUCGGAACGAUACAGAGAAGGUUAGCAUGGCCUCUGCUCAAGGAGGACAUGCAAAUUCGUGAAGUGUUCCAUAUUUAA
Small nuclear RNA from Otolemur garnettii (small-eared galago), 103 nucleotides. The record is from Ensembl. Lineage: Eukaryota; Metazoa; Chordata; Mammalia; Primates; Galagidae.